Molecule: ribosomal RNA, 510 nt
Filed under: Pleosporales sp. R6-4-1
Lineage: Eukaryota; Fungi; Ascomycota; Dothideomycetes; Pleosporales
Description: eukaryotic LSU rRNA
Rfam family: 5.8S ribosomal RNA (bases 142-295)
Source: RNAcentral
GGGCCUUACCCGGCCCUCGAUUCUCACCCUUGAUUAUGUGCACCUUUUGUUGUUUCCUCGGCAGGUCUCCUGCCGGUAGGAACCCUACAAACCCCUUUGCAAUAGCAUCAAAACUUCUGAAAAAUAUACCCAACUAUUUACAACUUUUAACAAUGGAUCUCUUGGUUCUGGCAUCGAUGAAGAACGCAGCGAAAUGCGAUAAGUAGUGUGAAUUGCAGAAUUCAGUGAAUCAUCGAAUCUUUGAACGCACAUUGCGCCCCUUGGUAUUCCAUGGGGCAUGCCUGUUCGAGCGUCAUUUACCCCCUCAAGCUCUGCUUGGUGUUGGGCGUCUGUCCCGUCUUCGUGCGUGGACUCGCCUUAAAGGUAUUGGCAGUCGUCUGUGUUUUUGCCCACGCGCAGCACAUUGCGCUUCUUGAGGCUUGUGAAACUGGACCGACAACCAUCAAGACCCCUUCCACAGUUUGACCUCGGAUCAGGUAGGGAUACCCGCUGAACUUAAGCAUAUCAAUA